CACGGCAGAGCUUCCCAAGGAAGUCACGGGACCCCGCCUCAGGAUAUUCAGAAGCUCUAGUCCAGUUCUGGCAGCCUGAACUCUUCCUCCUCCAAGGUGAAAUCCAAGAAUACACUUCCUUCCAAGGACAGCAACUGACCUGCAAAAUGGGCGCCAGUUAGGGUGGCAGGGAGGACGCACAUUACAGUCAUUUAUUCCAAAAUUUGCCAUUUUCGCCAAACUUUCGGUGAUGACCUGGCAUGGUGGGUGGCUCAUGCCUAUAACCCCAGCAUCUUGAGAUCCUGAGGCAAGAGGAUCACUUGAGGCCAGGAGCUUGAGACCAGGCAGGACAACACAGCGAGAUCCCCCAUCUCUAGAAAAAAUAAUUAGCCACAUGUGGUGGUGCAUGCCUAUA
Molecule: long non-coding RNA, 394 nt
Filed under: Homo sapiens (human)
Lineage: Eukaryota; Metazoa; Chordata; Mammalia; Primates; Hominidae
Description: HSALNT0244272
Source: RNAcentral